RNAcentral lists this long non-coding RNA (5593 nucleotides) under Olea europaea subsp. europaea. The record is from RNAcentral. Lineage: Eukaryota; Viridiplantae; Streptophyta; Magnoliopsida; Lamiales; Oleaceae.
GACAGAAGCCCAACAUCGAAACAUAAUUCUAGUUCAAUCCCCAUUUCUAGGGUUUCUCCUCAUCUCCCCCACCAAUCACUCUCUCCUAUUCCUGGUAAAUUUCUCUUUCCAAUUGCGCGUUUCAAUUUUUCUCUAUUUGUACAUAAUUUUAGUGCCUUUAAAAAAAAAAAAAAUUUGACUUUAUCUAUUGCUUUAAUGUUAGACUAUCUUCUACGAAUGCUUAGAUUAAUAUUAUUCUUGUAAAUAAAUCGAAUUCUUCGAUAUGAUCUCGAAUUAUGGUGUAAUAAUAUCUGGUUUCAGUUUUGGCUCUAGCUGAGCUUGUCAUCAAUUUUCGGUUAUGGGUGUAAUAAAUAAUUCGGAUCUUUUUUUGGAUAAUGUCACGGUGAUUAAUUAUAUGAAGUUCACAACCAUUUUAACUUGUAUUUGGAACAUUCAAUUCUACCUUUCUUGGACAAAUUUUUAGACCAUACUUCUCGCACUAUGUUAUAUGCAUGUAACGUUCCAAGUAAUCACAAUUCUGGCUUUUGCAGCUGUGACAAGUCCGUUCAACAUGUAACCAAUAAACGAAUUGCUGAAAAAAGCUUGAUUUGAGUGGUUAAUAAUAAUGGUGCUUGUUAUUACUUAAAUUCCUUUUCCUUGUAAUUUUGAAAGUUUACAAACCUAAACCAUAUUGUAUCUACUGAAAUAUACAAAAUCGAACUAUUUUGUUUGGAUAAUUCAAUGUUAAUUUAUAAGUUCCUCACCCUGCGGCAAAUUAGAUGGACUUUUGUUUCAAUUUCAAUAGAGGGUCGUGUUUUCCAGUAACUUUACAAUUUACAUUACAGCAAUAUUUCAGUAUAUGCAUAACAAUUCAUAUACCAUACUUCUGUGCAUUUUUUUAUUUACUGGGGCAAUUGACAACAAUUAGAUAAGAAAAGGGAUUCUAAUUAGAGUAGAUAAGAAAAGGGAUCAUAAUUAGAACUUGUGACAGAAGGCAACAACAAUUAGAUUAGAUAAGAAAAGGGAUUCUGAUUAUACAGCUAGCUAAAAGAGUGGUGGAGCCUCAGGUGGAUCCUGUACAUUCUUCUUCUUAAAAUAAAUUGUUUUCUGCAGGAAAAAAUUACAAGCAAAAAUAGUAGGAAGCUAUAACUUUUAGGCAAGGAACCUUCGUUGAUAUAUGAAAUUAUUAAUCAAAGAAUAAGAGGAACCAUGCAUGUAUGCUUGCCAUAAUAACAUGUAACAAACCCUUUUAAAGACAUCAAGGUUGUCUAUGUUCAGAGUUUCCGCACUAAAUAAACCUUAGUUUUCCGACACAAUACAUCCCUUGACAAUGAGGAUGCAGUUCACCUCUAUAAGUCGAUAAACUUUGUUAAUUAUAAGAAGAUUCACAGUGAUUUAUUACUAUUUUAUUUGUGUCCAUAAUGCUAGUGUAUCUAUCAAAACUUUUCACUUUUAUAUGAAAUAAAUAUCAGUUGUGGCUGAAAAUUAUGCAAGUACUUGGAGUGAAUUGUAGGGGGAUACAUUUUUAGUUAUUUGGCUGCGAGUAAAAAAAAUUUGUUGGAGUAGUUUUUGAUUUACAACUAGAUCCUGAAAGGAAUGAGUUAUUCAAAAUUGAUCAUUUUCUGGGAGCUAGAAUAUUAACGAAAGAUAUUAUUGUGUAAUGAGGCGUAUGUAGUUGGUCGCACUCUUUAUAUGGAACAUCCAUUCACCCAUUACAUUCUACAUGCCAUUCGUAAGUAGUCAAAGCCUUUUUGUGUGUGUAUCCAGAAAGUAUGACUUGGAUACAUGUUAUGAACAUAUGAUUAAAACUAUACUUAGUAGGGUUAUAUGAGUUACCCAUUUCAAGAAGAUGCUGGUAUCUUUUUUAUUUGUGUUGUGUUGGACUCGUUUAUGGUAUUUUUCUUGAUGGUUAGCUAUUAUAUUUUUAAUGGCAUCCGCAAAUAGGUAUUUUUACUGAACACGAUUUCCCACACAGUUGGUUUCUGAUUCUGUAAUUGAUAAUCAGGUAGUUAUUAUUGCAGCUGCCAAAUUAUUGAAUGCAAUUUCCUUUCUGUCCCUUCAACAGAGAAAACGAAAAAGAAAGAAAAGCUCUUAUUGCAUUAGAUAACGGGAUACAAUUUAAAUAGGCACUCAUCUUUAAAGAAAUGUAUAAAGUGGAGUUAUUAUCCCAUUUAACCAUUCUGACUAGUCACUUUUUUCCCCAUUCUGAUUAAUCACUUGAUCUCUUGAAGUUCCAUGCCAUGGCAAAGAGGAAGCUUAUAUUGAUUUGUCAGUCUGGUGGUGAGUUUAUGACCAAUGAUGACGGGACCUUAUCAUACAAAGGAGGAGAAGCAAAUGCUGUAAAUAUCAAUGACGAAACUCAGUUUGAUGAUCUGAAAUUGAAAUUGGCUGAAAUGUGUAAUUUGAAUUAUGGGACAAUCUCAAUCAAGUAUUUCCUCCCGGGAAACAGUAGAAAUCUCAUCACACUAAGAAAUGACAAGGAUCUACAAAGGAUGAUUGAUUUUCAUGGGAUUUCAGUGACUGCUGAUAUCUUUGUUAAUGGAAAAGAAGGAUUUGACCGAGAUGCUCUCAAAGUACAGGAAAGCAGGUAUAUGUUUGAGUUGCACCUUGUUAUAUUAACUGCUUCCUUAAAUGCGUUUCCUGUUUUCAAUAUGAAUUUUCUGCUGUAAUUCCAGCUUGUUGGCAAUCCAUAUGCACCACCUUUGAGCAGUGAUAAAUAAUGUUGACAAAUCACUAGAUUGCCAACACUUUUUGAGAAAGUGAGACUCAUCAGCUCUAUAGAUUCAUGAUGUGGUGAUUGGUUGCUGACACCUGGCUGGCUAUUAUAUUUAGCUCCUUUUUGGUCCCCAUAUUUUAGAAACCCCCCCCCCCCCCCCCUCAUUUUCAACCGGAUCCACUACUUUUAUCAACUUUUCAACCAAACAUUUAAUCUACUUUUAUCAAAAUCUAAAAUCUACUAAAAAACUGAUUUUUAGCAUAGCCAAACAGGGGCUUACUAACAUGCUCGUAUAAAUUCAUCAAUAAAACUUGGCAGGGGGAGCGACAUAAAACUGGCUGAGACUGUGAGCCCUGUUUCACCCUCAGCUAAUGCUAAACGGGUUGUCAAUGAUGUGCAACCGUGUGCUUCCCGUGCUAAUGCUGCACCUAAUGAUGCUGUCUCUCCUGUUUAUGCUCCUGGUUCUACUGUAGCAGCUGGUGCAACUGCUAAGAGAUCGGGACCCAGUAGAGCAUCAACUGCCUCAAUCCCCUCUUCUGGCCCUGGUGCUGACUAUGAUUCGGCCUAUGCACCGCUUGUCGAGCUUGCUGUUCAUGCAGCUGCUCAGACCUCAACUGGCCUUCCUACAGGUGGUAGCCCAGCAGAUACUGUUAAGAAGCGAAGGCGCAUGGCCUUACAAAAAAUUGGUUCCUGUGGACCCACUACUUCAGUCGCUGAUAAUGGCAGGAAAAGAAGAUCUAGGAAGAAAAAUAUCUCUGCAGUCAAUGACAACUUGGAGAAGCAUCAAAGAUAUAAUUCUCUGGGGAAUGAUGAUCAUGAAAUCCUAUCUGUUCGUGAUGAUGACUUGCCAGAAAACCUAGUUUUGUCAUGGAAAGAUUAUAUUACGGGGGUGGGCCAGGAGUUCAAAAGUGUGAAAGAGUUCCGGGAGGCACUGCAGAAGUAUGCUAUUGCGCACCGCUUUGUAUAUAAGUUGAAAAAGAAUGAUACUAUUCGUGCUCGUGGCAUAUGCGCUGCAGAAGGAUGUUCUUGGAAGAUUCAUGCAUCUAGGGAUUCUACAUCUCAGUCAUUUCAGAUUAAAAAGUUCAACAAUACACAUACAUGUGGUGGGGAAUCUUGGAAGAAUGAAAACCCAGCAAAGAAGUGGUUGGUUGGUGUUAUAAAGAACAAGUUACGUGAGUCCCCACAUCACAAAACCAAGGAAAUUGCUAACAGCAUCUCGCAGGACUUUGGAAUUCAAUUAACAUAUACACAAGUGCGGCGUCGAAUUAGGGAUGCCAGAGAGCAACUUCAGGGUUCAUAUAAGAAGUCUUACAAUUGGUUGCCUUGGUUCUGCAAGACAGUGGUGGAAACAAAUCCUGGUAGUAUUGUCAAGCUUGUCACUAAUUAUGAGAAAAGACUUCGGUGCCUUUUUGUGUCAUUUUAUUCUUCUAUACAUGGCUUCCACGGUGGUUGCCGUCCCAUUCUUUUUCUUGAAUCUACAUCUCUACGAUCGAAGUACCGAGAAAUUUUGUUGACUGCAACUGCAGUCGAUGCAGACGAUGGUUUCUUCCCGGUUGCAUUUGCUAUAGUUGAUGUUGAAACCAAGGAUAACUGGCUAUUGUUUCUGAAGCAACUAAAAUCUGCAAUGUCAACUUCACAAUCCAUAACAUUUGUCUCAGAUAGAGAGAAGGGGUUAAAGCAGUCUAUUCUUGAGGUAUUCGAGAAUUCUUGCCACGGUUAUUCCAUUUUCCACCUUAUGAAAAGUUUCAAGAGGAACAUGAAAGGGCCAUUCCAUGGGGAUGGAAGAUGUGUCCUACCUGAAAGUUUUCUAGCCGCUGCCCAUGCUGUCCGACUUAAUGAUUUCAAAAUGUUCACAGAGCAAAUUAGACAGAUCUCGUCACAUGUUUAUGAUUGGGUUAUUCAAAUUGAACCCGAGAACUGGACUCGUUUGUCAUUCAAAGGUGAGCAGUAUAAUCAUAUCACACAGAAUGUUGCAGAAUCAUACACUAAGCUGAUGGAGGAAAAACGGGAAUUAACUAUAAUGCAGAAGAUAGAAGCCCUGAGGAGCAUGAUGAAUGAGUUGAUAAAUAAUCGUCAAAUGGAAUCGAGUAAAUGGACGACAAAACUCACUCCCUCGAAAGAGAAAUUGAUGCAAGAAGCUGUUCUUAAAGCAUUUGGACUGAGAGUCUUUGCCUCGUCAGAUACUCUGUUUGAGGUCCAUGAUAAUUCUACUCAUGUUGUGAAUAUUGAAAAGCGGGAAUGUACAUGCCUAGAGUGGAAAGAAAGUGGGCUUCCAUGCUACCAUGCUAUUGCUGCCUUAAACUGUGCAGGGAAGAAUGUUUAUAACUACUGUUCAAGAUAUUUUACCACUGAGACUUACCAAUCAACGUAUUCGAAGUCUAUAAAUCCUAUUCCUGGCAUUGAUAAGCCCAUACGAAAAGAAAAUGGCGAUUCAGAUACCAUGGAAGUGCUUCCUCCUUGUCCCCCUCGUAUGCCAAAUCAACACAAGGAAGAAGAGAGCAAUUCAGAGAAUCCGGAUAAGAAGACUGUCACUUGUACCAGGUGCAAGCAGCUCGGGCAUAACAAAGCUUCAUGCAAAGAAGAUAUAUAGCUUCCAUGUUUGGCCUUCUUUGUGUAUACACCGUAUAUAAGCCUGGUUACUCCUAAGCUAUAAGCGGUUUGGCCGAGUUGGUGCAGUUCUAGUAGGUCAUUGAAGACGCUAGUUUUAAACAGAUACUUGCUUUAGUCUUAUGAUUGAAGCACUUUUAUUUAGUUUGCAGAAUAUAUUAUGUUAAUUGAGUUGUCUUUUUAUUAGUAUGCUCUUGUUUGGUAAAGUUUCUUUUAGAUUUUAAGCAAUCAAAAUAUUUUUUUAACCACAUAUAUUAUAGAUUCACAAUUUUUAUUUAUUUUUUAACGGAC